Molecule: ribosomal RNA, 260 nt
Filed under: uncultured prokaryote
Description: partial 16S ribosomal RNA
Rfam family: Bacterial small subunit ribosomal RNA
Source: RNAcentral
UACGUAGGGUGCGAGCGUUGUCCGGAAUUACUGGGCGUAAAGAGCUCGUAGGUGGUUUGUCGCGUCGUCUGUGAAAUUCCGGGGCUUAACUCCGGGCGUGCAGGCGAUACGGGCAUAACUUGAGUGCUGUAGGGGAGACUGGAAUUCCUGGUGUAGCGGUGAAAUGCGCAGAUAUCAGGAGGAACACCAAUGGCGAAGGCAGGUCUCUGGGCAGUUACUGACGCUGAGGAGCGAAAGCAUGGGUAGCGAACAGGAUUAGA